GUGUGUGUGUCUGUGUGUCUGUGUGUCUGUGUGUGUCUGUGUGUGUGUUCAGCGAUUUCUUUCCUUUUGGAUUGGUAAUGUUUAACCACUGCCUGUACCCUCAUCAUAUCUUGGAAGUAGCUAACUCAUUUCUGUUUUACAGUCUCAUAGCUGAAUGGAAGUCUAGCCUGGUCUCAGAUAAGACUUUGAACUUUGGACCUUUGUGUUAAGACUGGAAUGAGUUAAGACUUUGGGAGACUAUUGGGAAGACAUGAUUGUAUUUUGUAAUGUGAGAAGAAGAUGAGAUUGAGGGGUCGGGGCUGAAUAAUAUGGUUUGGCUGUCACCUGAGCAGCAAGGUCUGGUCAGUGGCAGCCUGGUCAGUGGGAGCCUGGUCCCUGGGGACCUGGUUAAUGGAAACCUGGGUCAGUGGGGGUCUGAUGAGUGAGGUCCUGUGGAGCGGGGUCCUAGUCCGUGAAGGCCUACUCAGCGGGGUUAGUCACUUGAGACAUGGCCAGUGGGUACCUGGUCGCUUUGGCCUUGCCAGUGGGGGCUUCGUCACAGGAGCCUGAUCAGUGUGGGCUUUCUCAGUGGACCUAGUCAGUUGGGACUUGGUCAGUGAGGCCUAUUUAAUGGGGGUGUGGUCAGCAGGGGUGUGCUUUGAGAGGGUAUCAUUAGGGGGAUCUAGUAGUGAGGGUCUGGAUGAGUGGGGACCUAGUGGUAGCCAGUCAUUUGGUGUAUGGUGGGUGGAAACCUGGGCUGCCGGUGCUUGGUCAGCGAAGACCUGGUCAUAUGGAGCGUAGUGGUGGCCUUGUCAGCACGGGCUGGGUCUCUGGUGACCAGGUCAAAAGGUGUUCUUCAGUGGAGGCCUGGUCACACGGGACCUAGUCAGCAGGGCCUGGUGGGCAUGUCCUCAUCAGUGAGGCCCUUGUCAUUGGGGCCCCGAUCAGGGCAGCCUGAGCAGUGGCACCUAGUUAGUGGGGGCCUGAUUCCUGUCAGAAUCUCUGAGCAUGAUCUCCCAGGUCCAUCCAAAUGCCUGCUUUGUCCACUUUUGACUGGGCCAUGGGACACCACUGGGCCAACCCAACUGUGCACAGGGCCCUCCAUAAUGUGCAUUGCACCUGGCAUCCCCCAGCAUGCUCAGCAGCCCCCAGUGACCAGGUGCCUGCUGGCCAGGCCUCACUGACCUGGUCCUUACUGAUAAGGCCUCACUGACCAGGUUCCACCAAUCGUGACCCCAUUGCCUGAUCAGGGAGGACUUGGUCAGUGGUGGCUUUUGAAGCACUAGUCUCAUCAGUGGUGACCUGGUCAGUCGGGAUCUGAGCAAUGGGUGCCUGUUAAUGGGGCCAGCUCUCUAGGGUCCAGGUCAGGGGCAUCUGGUAACCUCAGGACUGAUUAGUAAGAGGCUUGUCAGUGGCAGCCUGUUCCCUGGAGGCCUGGUCAGUGGGGCCUCAUCUGUGGGGCCAGCAAUAAGGUAUGAUUGGCGGAACCUGAUCAGUGAGGGCUGGUCAGGAAGGUCCUGCUCAGUAGGCCUUAUCAGUAAGGACCUGGUCAGUGAGGCCUUGUCAGUAGGGACCUGGUCAGUGAGGGCUUGUCAGCAGGGCCUGGUCAGUGAGGGCUUGUCAGCAGGGCCUGGUCAGUGAGAACUGGUCAGCAGGGACCUGGUCAGUGAAGCCUGGUCAGCAGGGACCUGGUCAAUGGGGGCUGCUGAUCAUGCUGGGAGAUGCCAGGUGCAAUGCACGUCAUGGUGGGCCCUGUGCACAGGUGGGAUGGCCCAGUGGUGUCUAACAGUCCGGUCAAAAGUGGACAAAGCAGAUGUUUGGAUGGACCUGGGAGAUCUUGCUCAAAGAUGAUGACAGGACAUAGGUAAAGGAAGGGCCAGAGUGGCCGGAGAGAUGGUCACAGUCUAUGGGCUGGACAGAAUGGAGGAAGUUAAGAAACAGGCAGGGUGGGCAGCUGGAGUGCAGGGAGAGGCGGUUUCAUGCUGGGAGGUCAGACCCUGUGAGGGCUUUUGGGGCUUCAGGUGGGGUGGGCUCCAGUUGCACCCUCAUUACACUGGGCAGUUCUCAGCCCAGACUUCCUGGACCUUGGCUGAGUGAUGUGGUCACUCCCUGGGGGACUGCUGUCAGGCCCCGGCCACCCACCCUGGGCAGCACUGUCCCAUCUCAGGACUGGACUCUCUCAGAGCCUCCAGAGGGCACAGCCUCCAGCCUCGGAGGGGCAGCCGUUUGCUACAGCUUGACCUCUCCAUGGGCCUGGAACAUCCCCUGCCAGCCCUGCGCUUCCUCUUCUGCCAGGUCUUACUUUUCCAGUGCCAGUCAGCAGGGAGUUCCUGUUCUCCCUGCCUUUUGUGUCUCCUGGGCUGAAACUUGGUGUGGAUUUGGACAGGGAUGGUGCUUCCCUCAGGCCCACUUAGGGAGGGGACUGGCUCCCAGUCUGGCACAGGUCCUCAGCUCUGCCUUGGUCGCCUUAGAGUGAGAUGGAUUGCUCAGUGCCCUGAAGGUGAAGGUCAGUGUCCCUGCUGUGUGGGAGGCUGGUCUAGGGAUGGAGGACUUGACAGUUUCUCCCAGGCUGUCAGGCCUUGGCAGCACUGUCCUGUCUCAGGACUCAGAAAGUCCAGUCCUGAGAUGGGAUGGUGCUGCCCAGGGUGGGUGGCCGGGGCCUGACAGCAGUCCCCCAGAAAGUGACCACAUCACCCAGCUGGGUUCUAGGGAGCCCAGGGUGCACCUGGAGCCCACUCCACCUGAUACCCCCACAGCCCUCGCAAGGUCUGACCUCCCAGCAUGCACCUGCAUCUCCCUGCACCCCAGCUGCCCACCCUGCCUGUUCCCUGACUUCCUCCAUUUUGUCCAGCAGGAUAAGCUGGACAGGGGGACAGCCUGUGUGCACAUUUGGUGGCAAGUAGGAGUGACACACCAUCCCUGGGAGGCCCCAUGGUUUUUGACAAGCCCAACCCCAGAACUCUGUCCAGGAGGGGGUUUUCCACACCAAAACCAAGAACUGCGAUUGUGGCUCAGGAAUCAGCACCUGCUAGUGCCAGGACAGUACUGGGAGGCUGGGACAUGACCAAAGCCCAUGAUGUCUGUGGCCUGAGGACGGCCUGUCUUGGAGCCAUAAGGCCAAGCCACAAUGACCAGUGGGUCAGAGGGGCUCAGCCCGUGUUUGUCCUUCCCUGGCUCCUUCUGGCUCAGUCCCAUCAGGGCCCUGGAGCCCACGACCCUGCAUCCAAGGUCCCCUCCAGGAAUCCUGGUGGCUCAGCUUUGUUGUGUUUCAUCUGAGAGUAAAAAUGUCAGAUGAGAUGCACAGAAAAAUGGCUCCAAGUGUUUAAUGACUAGAAGAAAUUGAGGAGCAGCAAGAAGGUAAUGUGUAGAGGGUGGGACCUCCAUGACCGACGUCUGCAGAGCCAGGGGUACAGGCAUCCAGUGCUGUGGGCUGGCACCACCUGCCUCUCAGAGGGUGGGUGGCACACCGUCCUUACCCGGAGGAUAGCAGGCCUGGUCACCAGCUUUUCUAAAACCGGUCCCUGCAAGUAUCACGUUGCUAAAAGAAAAUCUCAUGCCAGGGCCUGGACCACUUCUAGCUCAGGGGUUAGGGUUUUCUCUUGGUGACCUAAAUAAAAAACUAGGUCCAGACCAGAGUUCUUGACACUGAGCACUCAUCCACUCUGAAUUGUGGCAGGGGAGGCCUGGUCCUAAAUAUAGCUAACUUCUUUGAGGAACCACAGAGCCCAAGGCUAGAAACCUUCGGAAUCCUGUGGCACUGAUUAUCACUGGGGACCCCUGUGGCCUGUCUCACCGAGCACUGUUCCAUCUGUAGAUGUCUUGGCUGCUCUACAAGGGAGACCCCUUUCAGAUGUGGGGCUGGACAUGGUGACUCCUGCUGGAUGUCUAGAAUGUGGAAACCUAAGGAAAUACCAGGUACAGCCUUUCUGCGCUCAUCCAGAGCAGGACAAACAGGCCAGGUGGUGUCAGGAGCCCAGGCCUCCAGCUGGAGGGAACUUCGACCCUGCAGUGGGAGUAGGGGCCCAUCACACAUCCUAGGCAUAGAUGGUAACAUAGGCACUGCAGGUAAGCUGGGCUUGGUACCCCUGCCCCACCCCAGUUUCAGAAAGAAGCCAAACAAGGAGCUUUCUGCAGAAUAAAACCUCCUUUCCUUCCAGAAGCACCGCAGACUGUUUGGUGGUUGCCAUCUGUGGCAGUGAGCCUUUCGUCCAUUCUGAGGUUGUGAGUGCUGGCUUUUCCUCUUGGUCCUGCCCUACAGACCAUAAAGGAGAACAGCAAGAGGUCCCCAGCAAACCCCACAGAUGGCCCUGGACAUAAGCCACAUUCUGAGAAACAUGUCAUGGUCUGGGAGAGCUAAGGCAUCAAGAAUCCCAGUGAAUAUAUUGCCGCCACCUUGGAGGUCAGUGCCCUCAUAGUGUGACAGCACCAGCAGAUCUGCCUGAGCAUGGACUUCCUCUACUACCUCACUCCUGGGGGCGAGGCUUCUGCAGGGCCUGACUUGGAGCAAAACUUUUGACACUGUCGUCCUGGAGCAGCACUGCACCCGCACUAGCCAGGCUGUUGAUGACUUCCUCAAGGCCAAGGGCACGUUCAAGGCCUCAUACUUCAUUGAUGCAUUUGUGCUGAGCCAGGCGUGCUUCUCUAGGAACUUAAUUAAUUCAGGAGUAGAAUGGAGCUUGAGAUCGAGUGUCUGAUCAAGGAACUUGAACUUGAUCUGGAGGGCUCUAGGGAGCCGUGGAAGGUCUGGAUAAAGGAGGGACAGACAGACACGUUAUAGAGAUGACUGUAGAAGGCUGCCUGGAAGGAGUGAACAAGAGCCAAGAGACCAGGGAGGGAGCUUAUGGGGCAGGUCUGGCGAUGGUAAGGGAGGGAUCCUGCUUGGACGAAAGGUCUUCAGGGACUGUCUCAGGUUACACUCAGCUGCCCUCAGAGCUUGUGUGGUUCAGAGGUCUCGUCUCCAGGAUGAAAAUGGGAAGAAGUUGUCAGAUGAGGACAUAUAAAUGGAGGCCGGCGUCUUGAUGGGUGUCAGUGGCGGUCUCGGUGUGGGACUACUGUGGGAACAGGGGUCUCUCCAUCCAGGGAUGUGGUGGAUGGACCUUAUAUCACUCCAUUCUGCCCUUCAUUUCCCUUCCCCCUUUCUCUCCAGGGACUUGGUGUGUGGGCGCUGUCCAUCCUCUGGUGCUGAAGCAGCCAAGAGACCCAAACCUGCCUGGCUGCCUCUCAGGAUAUAACAACACAGCCAGUGACCUCUACUGGGCCCUACACAACCUCACAAGACACCAGAAACUGGGAGUGCUGGCAGCAUGUGGUGCAGGAGCCCCGAGGGCCCACAAUCCAGAAGACAUUGAAUGGUGGGUGCAGGGCCUCAUGGCCUGUUCCCCAGGCCCUCUCAUUGGCUCUCCUCCAAUUAGUGAAGGUGGAAAACGUUUUUGUCAAUUCUGCCAUUAUUGCCUAGCAGGAAAAGGAGCAGAGCCCAGAAGCAGGGCCUGGUACCCAGCCUGCCUAACAAGGGAGAAUUUUUAGGUUCUGUCGACAGAAAGAUCUGGGAGUCCAUAUCUAUCACCCAUGAACUUGCUGAGACAUCAGGAAAAUCAGGUUUUUUUUUUCCUGAACUACAUUUCUGCCAUCUGUAAAUUGAGGGGAAUUUCUUCUAUCCCAUGAGGCUGCUUGGAGAAUUGGUGACAGUGUGUGUAGAGCAGGUGCGACCCAGCAGGCAUUUGGUGUCCAGACCACUCCUCUUGCCCCUUGAUUUUCUGCCUAAAUUUGUGUUUUGUUCCCAAGAACUUCACUCUCCUUAAUUUUGCUCUUCCCCCUUUUUCCCACCUCAUCAUCUACUCCAUGCAUUCACCAGGAUCUAAGAGGGUUACAGUCAUGUAUGCACGUAUGUGUAUGUAUGUGUAUGUAUGCACUGUAUUGGCGCUGCAGUGUGGUGUGAUUGUGUGUGUGUGUUGGAGUCACUGAGUGACUAAAUUUCUCCACACCAGGUGGUGCUCCUGCUCAUUACUGGGGGCGCUGUCAGGGCCCCUGGCCUCAACCCCAGGUCUGACCCUUGCAGUGCAGCCAGGCCAUUCUAGAGGAAUCAUGCCCUUGGAUGGAGCCCUGAGGAGUGACUGCUCCCCACUCUGCUGAUAUCUCCUAGGAUCGCUACCCUAAGGAAGAACUGGCAGUAGAAUUACUGUCCUACAGUCAUCUCCACAGAAAGUUUUUAUAUUUGAAUCUAUGCCUCAGGAUCUACUUCCAGGAAACUCAAACUAAGACACACAUUUUUCUGUCAGCAUCUCCAAUCCCCAUAGACCUGUCAUUGUGCUGUUUUUACCAAAAAGGAACAUGAGGAUCAGAGAGAGAAAGUCACUUGCCCAAAGUCACACAGCUGAACAGUGGUAGAGUUCAAUUUUGACCAUGGGCUGUCUGGCCCCAAGGUGGAUGCUUGCUCCUCUCCCAUGGUGUUUUGUGGGUCUCCUUCCUUAGUUUUUGAUAAGAAACACCCUUUCCCCUUUCAUUGGGAUUGUUUCUGUGGACCCCACACUGAGAUUUCCCCUGGUUGGGCAAUGGGCAGGUGGGGGUGGAGGGAGCAACCCUUUAGAAACAACAAUGCCAAACAAAUCCCAUUUGGGAAGUUCGUGCUAAGUGUCAUGGGUCCUCUGGAAUUUCCUGAAGCUUUCCUGUCCUCCCCACCCCCCACCAACGUGAUCAUCUGAUCUUCUGGACUCUCUACUAAGAUGCUGGCAGCCUGGCCAGCUGGUCUGGUUCUGGACAUGCCCUCAGGGGCUGGUUAUGCUUUAGUUAUGCUUCAUGACCUGUGUUGCAGUCAGUGUAAGCAGCACCUGCUCCUAGUUUCACUGUUGAGCCAGAUUUCAUCCCCAGCAUGGCUCUGCAGUGCGCCUUCUUCCUGCUUCCUCCGUGGACCCUGCACAGAAUUGCCCCAUGUUUCUAUUUGUGCACCACUGAGAAAGGAAUGCACAGGUCGGGACUUUUCAUUGUCCACCUGGUGCUAGGUCUUACUUCUGGAAUGGCUUCAGCGGCAGAUUCUUCUUUAUAUCCCCUGUCCACAUCUCUCAGGUUUCUGCUCACAAGUCACCUCUUGUAAGGGUCUCUGCCUGUCACUGUGUUUGGAAGAGCUCCCUCAGUUUCUUUCCAGCUCAUCUCACUCAGCUAAUGUCUUGCGUUACCACCAUCAUCUGACCUGGUCUUAUGACCUGUUAGCUUCCUUCAUCAGACAUGAGCACCAGGAUGGCAGGGGCCUCAUCUGUCCUGUUCCUCCUGUGGCCCUGGGUCCUAGCACUGUGUCGUGUACAGUGUAGAGAUGCUCAAGGGCAGUUGACUUUGAAGAACUGUCUACCUGGGAGUUAUUACUGUUAGUCCAAGCUACACCAUUUUGUAAACCCCCAGUCAUUUUGCAGACCCUGGUCAGAGUGAAACAUUCCACGGGAACUCAGGCCAUGAGAAACAGCCUUCCUAACCACCUGACUGCAGAAACAUCCUUAUCACAUUUUGCCGGGCAAAUAUGACUGCAGGAACAUCCUUGCCAUAUCCUGCUGUGCAGCAAGCUAUACCACCCAGACCGCUCCCUCCAGUCCCGUAAUUCCCUCCAGUCCCAUAAUUACCUCUGCCUGUGAGCAGCAGUGGGUGCUGGCACUAAGCUGGUUUCCUUCUCUGCAGGGUUUGCCAGCAAUAAAGGUGUUGCUGUUGAAGCCGC
Sapajus apella (tufted capuchin) is the source of this 7675-nucleotide RNA transcript. RefSeq lists it as uncharacterized. Lineage: Eukaryota; Metazoa; Chordata; Mammalia; Primates; Cebidae. The record is from RefSeq and is a predicted model, not a curated record. The transcript has 3 exons.